Felis catus (domestic cat) is the source of this 2252-nucleotide long non-coding RNA. RefSeq lists it as uncharacterized. The record is from RefSeq and is a predicted model, not a curated record. The transcript has 2 exons. Lineage: Eukaryota; Metazoa; Chordata; Mammalia; Carnivora; Felidae.
UGGGGGCCGGCGCUGCAGCCCCGGUCAGCUCCCGGGCCGGUUCCCCGGUCCCGUGUCUCUCCCUCCCAGGGCAAGUGCAGAUUCGGAGUCCCGGCCCCAGCCCCCGCGAGGUGACCUCUGGCUCUCACUGCCUCAAAACGGGGCUGGGGCUCCACCUCGUUUGGUUCUUCUGACCGCAUGAGCUAAGCUGCACAGCACAGGGCUGGCGUCUGGGGGCCCCACAGAGGGCGCGGGGGAGCGCUGAGGGAGAAAUCUAGCUGGGAAUCCCUGCAGCAAAUGGCGGUCACUUGUCAGGCGCUGACCGUGGCCAGACCUGACCCUAUGUGCUGGAGACACACGCGAAACCCGGGAGGGUCUCUGCCCUUAUGAGGAAAGACCGCUGGCGACUGGACCUGGGCCACUGUCUCUAUUCCACAGCGAGACCCCUGCUGGCCUGCAGAGCACCACAUUUCAAAUUGGACCCCGCUACCCUUACUGCUUUAGAAUCCUUUAUAAAAGUGUCAUUCUGGGGGGCACCCGGCUGUCUGACUCUUGAUUUUGGCUCAGGUCAUGAUCCCAGUGCCAUGGGAUUGAGUCUCUCGUCCGGCUCUGUGCUGAACACGGAGCCUGCUUAUGAUUCUCUCUCCCCCUCUGCCCAUCUCCCCAGCUUGUGCUCUCAAAAAAAAAAAGAGAGAAAAAGGUACAAUUCUUGCAGUUUGGUGACUGCCUUAAAUGGAGACAAAUAGCAUGCAAUAUUUAUUUGAUAUUAGCCAAACUGGGAGAAAUUAUCAGUCAGUCAGGCAGAGCCCGACACGGGGCUUGAUCCCAGGACCCUGAGCUGGAAUCAUGUCAGUUUUUAAGUACUGUGUACUUUGCCUUACCAGGGACUUCCUGAUAAAGUCUCUCGGAGCUUAUACUUUUCACCCGCUACAAGAUCUCCUACCUUAAUUGUACAGUGUUUUACAGUUGUCUUUUUUUUUUUUUUUUUUUGAGAGGGUGAGCAAGUGCACCUGCAAGUGAACGAGGGGAGAGAGAGUGGGGCGGGGAGGGGAGGGGAGAGAGAAGCGGGGCUGGAGCUCACGAAUUGUGAGAUCACGACCUGAGCUGAGGUUGAAUGCCUAAGGACCAAGCACCCCAGGCGCUGGCACUUUACAGUGUCACUAAUGCCCCCCCCCACCCCCCGCCGCCGUCUUCACGGAUCCGUUGGAACUGACGUACGGUCCCCAAAGGGGAAAACACAGGCUCGGCGAGGUCACGAGAGUUAAGUGGCAGAAUCAUCUGUUUCACAACUGUUUACUGGACAUCACAGGGGUGAGGGCCUCGGCCUAACCCCGACUCCUGUGGCGAUCGAGGACGGGACGGCUCACCGGGGAGGCGGACAAGGGGACACGGGCACAGGCGCACCUCACAGUUCCAUUUAUUCACGCCACAAAGGAAACAACACGUCUACACGCGUACGGCGGUGCUCCACGCCCCCAUCUAACAGAGCUGCCGGGAUUUACAGCCAGAUGGUCGGUCUCACGUGUGCUCCGAGGAAAGCUGGCUAAUGGUGACCGUGGGCGGGGGCAGGACUCGAAGCUUUUAAAAGAGAAGCACAGUGUGACUGUAAGUGAGGAAGAAAGGGACACACAGAAGAUGGUCUAUUCCGUUCCUUACUGACAAGUCUGUAAAUGACAGUUUUCAACACUAUGGACAAGUCUGGAGGGUCACUUCUACAUGGAGCGUCUGACACAUUUACGGGUUCGUGUAAUCAGUUCGUGCACACGGCACAAACCUGUGGCACAGGACAGAGGGGCAGGAAGUGUCUUCUCCCCAGAGGUGUCACGAGCCAGCCCUGGGUUUGUGAGGACUCACAUGAUUGGUUUCACUGUCAUUUGGGAAAUAGAGUGAAAUGUCUGACACUUGGGCAUAAACUUAUGUGAUGCUUUCUUCCAAAACACACCUCACAGGGCAGCGAGCUCACACAGCUAACCUGUGCUUCCCUGCUGGCGGCACUGGCUACAUCUGGCUUUCCAUUACCCCCAGAAGUCUUACUUGGUCCAAGGGGGUGAGCAGUGGUUUUUAACACUCCGACUGUAAGAGGAACUUCACGUUUCAACGUGAUCCCCCUGUACCUUAUGUACUGAUAAGCACACACCGCAGAACAGAUACGCCUUGAUCUAAAAAGGCACGAUGGGGUUUUUAAUUCCCCAUCCAUUUUAAGAAGCAAAAAUCUUACCUUUCGAAGCUUUACUUCUUUUAUCUGAAAUAAAAAGAAAGAAAAAUUGGUCGUA